RNAcentral lists this ribosomal RNA (253 nucleotides) under uncultured bacterium. RNAcentral describes it as "partial 16S ribosomal RNA". It matches the Rfam family "Bacterial small subunit ribosomal RNA", at positions 524 to 776 of the family's 1533-position model. The record is from RNAcentral.
UACGGAGGGUGCAAGCGUUAUCCGGAUUCACUGGGUUUAAAGGGUGCGUAGGCGGGCAGGUAAGUCCGUGGUGAAAUCUCUGAGCUUAACUCAGAAACUGCCAUGGAUACUAUCUGCCUUGAAUAUUGUGGAGGUAAGCGGAAUAUGUCAUGUAGCGGUGAAAUGCUUAGAUAUGACAUAGAACACCAAUUGCGAAGGCAGCUUACUACACAGUUAUUGACGCUGAGGCACGAAAGCGUGGGGAUCAAACAGG